This 200-nucleotide ribosomal RNA is filed under the name uncultured bacterium. RNAcentral describes it as "partial 16S ribosomal RNA". It matches the Rfam family "Bacterial small subunit ribosomal RNA", at positions 524 to 722 of the family's 1533-position model. The record is from RNAcentral.
UACGUAGGGGGCAAGCGUUGUCCGGAAUCAUUGGGCGUAAAGCGCGUGUAGGCGGCUUGGUAAGUCUGCUCUGAAAGCCCGGGGCUCAACCCCGGGAGGCGGGGUGGAUACUGUCAAGCUCGAGUCCGGAAGAGGAGUGUGGAAUUCCUGGUGUAGCGGUGAAAUGCGUAGAUAUCUGGAGGAAUACCGGUGGCGAAGGC